Drosophila yakuba is the source of this 1491-nucleotide long non-coding RNA. RefSeq lists it as uncharacterized. The record is from RefSeq and is a predicted model, not a curated record. NCBI's taxonomy places the organism in Eukaryota, Metazoa, Arthropoda, Insecta, Diptera, Drosophilidae. The transcript has 2 exons.
CUAUUGCUUUUUCAGAUGUUACACGCUUGGUUGACCACCAACAGAAACUCAAUUUUAAUUUAAUAACAAAUUAAUAACAACUAGAAUUAAGUUAACUUGCAUGCAUAACAUUCCGCAGGCAUGUCAUAAUGAAUCCACUCAGCUAUGCACGUAUGUAUAACAUUCGUUUCUUGUCCUGAUCAUUUUUGGAAGAUUCAAGUUCACACGACAUUCUCUGGACGACAUAUUGUGCUGUUUUUCAGAUUUGUCCCCUUAAGACACGAGCAUGUGUGAUCCACCACUACCUUAUUGUAGGUCCUUUUAGGAAGAUUACGCAGAGUAGCGUGUGAAGAGAAAGGUUGUUCUCAACGCAGAGCUGCAAUAGUUGAGAAGCCGGCGCACAGCCACUUUUGUGAUUAAAUGACACAUCUGAACUGCCAGGAGAAGUCUUGAAGGUGUCCAAAGCAGCAGCAUGGGCUAAUACAAGCACCACGACGACGACAUCUGGAUUGCAACCGGGGUGGAGCAGCUACAAGUCGAAAACUGAAUCCAGUCCGGAAAUUAACUGGGACUAAAGUAUGUACAUAUGUACCAGGAAAAGGAUCAAGAUUGAACAUUAGGGCAAUCGGAAUGAUUCACUACAAUACCAAACUGACAGUUGAUUUUUUAUUUAAUUUGGAGUAGGGGAUGUGGGUUGCUACUGAACUGCAACGAGAAUGAAAAGCAGUUAAAUAAUUUAAUAUAAACAUGCUAAGCUUAAAAUGUCAAUAUUGACACUAUAAAAUGGACAUCAUGUUUAGAUUCCGCGGACAUGAUGGAUUUUUCAAAAAUAUGGCUUUCUAAGAAAAUGAAAACCAAUAAGUACUCCAAUACUCCCACUAUUUCCACGAAUUGAUUCCUUCAAGGAUAUUCGAGUUCCGGAGUGAUUUUACGAUUGCCUUGACCCCAGGAUAUUGUGUUCCCCAUGUCUUUCGAGGGUCCCGGCCGCCGCCGCCCUUUGUGGGCCAGAUGGCAUAUGCAAAGUGCAAACAAAUUAUUAUUAGCUGCCAACAGCGCCAGCUACAUCAUCUUCACAAUGGAAGCGCCGAGGGAUUCCCACACAAGUGUGGCGUCCAGGAGAAAGGAAAAGGCGUUUGGUCAAGGCAGGGCUUCGCUGCAUUCUCCCAUUGUGCGGGCACAGUUGCGCCUUUAAGGCGAACCCGAACCCAUUUAAUUCACUUUGUCACCAUGCAAAUGAAACAUUAGUGGUGACGUACCCAAAUGGAUCGCUCAAAGGUCUCCGUUGGAUGUCUGCAAUUAGGCCAGACACGUAAAUGGAAAUGAUUUACAAUCGUUUGGGCUUCUGUUGCUCCUGCUGCAAGUCACUCACCAUCAAGUGCACUGGGAAAAAUCACUUCAAGCGGUGCAAGUUCAAUGGGUUAAUAUUACAAGUACGAUUUACUCUAAUUACAGUGAUGUAAUGUUUAAUUUAGAAACAAUAAAACCAACACCCAAUCCGCAUGUAUUAACUGA